Chinchilla lanigera (long-tailed chinchilla) is the source of this 1461-nucleotide long non-coding RNA. RefSeq lists it as uncharacterized. The record is from RefSeq and is a predicted model, not a curated record. NCBI's taxonomy places the organism in Eukaryota, Metazoa, Chordata, Mammalia, Rodentia, Chinchillidae. The transcript is spliced from 5 exons.
GACAGGUAGCACAGCCCUCCGCUACAAAUGGCUGGUGUUAGAGCUACUUCCUGAACCUUCCCCUGAAGAUUUGAUAAGGGUCCAGAUGGUUGCGAGGCAGAAAGAUAGAAAUAUUUUACUGAGCUUGUUCUGAUAAGGGACCCUGCUUCCUGGGUGGUGGCUGGGGCAGUGAGGCAGUGCCCUCUGGAUAGGCUGUGGUCCCUGGCCCAGUCCAUGGCAGCCCACGGGAUGUGCAGAGGAUCAUUACCCAGAGAGGAGCUCAGGACGCACAGCUGGGGGCAGCUCCCCUCCCUGUCCCCUGGGCUUGCUCACUGCCUCCGAAUUGCACUGAAAAUGGGAACCUGCUCCAGAAACCCCUCCAAGGUCCUGACACAGACUGGGCGUGCACUCGGACUUGCUGACCUUCAUUUCUUCUUGCCAGCGUGGACGUAAGGCACAGCUCUUCCAUUGAAAUCCUGAGUUUACCGUGACUGCACAUCCCGAGGCCGUGGUCUGUCCACAGUGCCCGUCACAACUCAGGUAGCUCAGGACAGCAGGAGACUGGUGAACAACUGAAGACAAUGGGGUCAUACCCCGAGGGUCAGAGUGCACAGGGACACUGCUGAACGCAGAAAGAAGCGGACUAUGACCACAAAAUAGAAAAGACCCCCCCAACACACACAGGAUGGAAGGAUUCAUCUAAGCACCGUCUUCGCCACUCUGUUGUAAAGUUUGGAAAGUCUCUGGCCAUAUGCUUGAGAAAUUUACUCCUAUCUUGAACGCUUGUCUGACAACACUGGUAAACUCAAAGUGAUUGUAGAUGGACAGGUUCUUACACUUCAAAUAUCAGGGUUAAUUACGAGAAAUUCGGCAAAACCCCAAGCAGUGAAUGAGGAGAGGAGGAGAGACGCUGUCUUCUCUGGCAUUAAGCUGGCUUGGAGGUCUUUACAGUGUCGGUCAGAGGCUCCCAGUCGCCUGGAACUCAUCACGGUUUGAAGCCCUGUUUGGAAGGGACUGCGGGACUCCAGACUUCCAAAUUUAACAAUCAUUUGGAGGAAGUUUAUUUUAUAGUAGCUUUUGUGAACUAUGGGAAGACUAAAUAACUGAAAGGAUCUCCAAAGUGAAAGAUGAAGGAAAUAAUGGAGAUAUGGAAAAGACUACUGAAUUCUCCAGGAGGAAGUGAUGUCAGUUCUACAGGAGGAAGUGGUGUCACUCCUCCAGGAGGAAGUGAUGUCACUCCUCCUUAUCCACAGUGGGUGCUUCAUUUGUGGCUGUCUCCAGGCCUGAUGCAGGGGUGCAUAACUAAAGCAAAACCAAGAACACAGCUCCCACUACCACUAGGAAUCAUGAAGGCGGAUGAGAGACCAUUCUACCUGGACCGUCCUUACUCUCUGGCUGCCUUCUCCCUAACGCUUAGUCCAGGCAUGGGCAGAAUGAUGGAGUUAGAGGGCUCUGUGUGCAGUCAUGCUGAACUGUUCGCUG